UCUACCAUCAAUGAGGAAGUGACCUGAGAGUGCACUAUUAACAUUCACAAGUGUAUCCAUGGAACAGGCUUAAAGAAGUAUGCCCCUCAGGUAUGCAAAGACAUCCAGAAAUUUGCCAUGAAAGGGAUGGAACUCAAGAUGUGCACAAUGAUGCCAGGUUCAAUAAAGCUAUAUGGGACAAAGAAGUAAGGAAUGUUUCAUAUUGAAUCCACAUGUUUGCCCAGAAAAUGUAAUGAGAGUGAGCACCAAACAAGCUCUAUACACUGCUAACUUACGUACCUGUUACUGCAUUCAAAGCUCUAUAGACGGUCAAUGUGGAUGAGAACUAA
Molecule: long non-coding RNA, 329 nt
Filed under: Mus musculus (house mouse)
Lineage: Eukaryota; Metazoa; Chordata; Mammalia; Rodentia; Muridae
Description: long non-coding RNA chr2:58894039-58894368
Source: RNAcentral